Molecule: transfer RNA, 75 nt
Filed under: bacterium ADurb.Bin400
Lineage: Bacteria
Description: tRNA-His
Rfam family: tRNA
About the family: Transfer RNA (tRNA) molecules are approximately 80 nucleotides in length. Their secondary structure includes four short double-helical elements and three loops (D, anti-codon, and T loops). Further hydrogen bonds mediate the characteristic L-shaped molecular structure. tRNAs have two regions of fundamental functional importance: the anti-codon, which is responsible for specific mRNA codon recognition, and the 3' end, to which the tRNAs corresponding amino acid is attached (by aminoacyl-tRNA synthetases). tRNAs cope with the degeneracy of the genetic code in two manners: having more than one tRNA (with a specific anti-codon) for a particular amino acid; and 'wobble' base-pairing, i.e. permitting non-standard base-pairing at the 3rd anti-codon position.
Source: RNAcentral
GCGGCCAUAGUGAAGUGGUUAUCACGGCAGUUUGUGGCACUGCAAUCAUGGGUUCAAUUCCCGUUAGCCGCCCCA